Molecule: ribosomal RNA, 404 nt
Filed under: Actinomycetes bacterium
Lineage: Bacteria; Bacillati; Actinomycetota; Actinomycetes
Description: Actinobacteria bacterium partial 16S ribosomal RNA
Rfam family: Bacterial small subunit ribosomal RNA
Source: RNAcentral
UGGGGAAUAUUGGACAAUGGGCGCAAGCCUGAUCCAGCCAUGCCGCGUGAGUGAUGAAGGCCCUAGGGUUGUAAAGCUCUUUCACCGGUGAAGAUAAUGACGGUAACCGGAGAAGAAGCCCCGGCUAACUUCGUGCCAGCAGCCGCGGUAAUACGAAGGGGGCUAGCGUUGUUCGGAUUUACUGGGCGUAAAGCGCACGUAGGCGGACUUUUAAGUCAGGGGUGAAAUCCCGGGGCUCAACCCCGGAACUGCCUUUGAUACUGGAAGUGUUGAGUAUGGUAGAGGUGAGUGGAAUUCCGAGUCUAGAGGUGAAAUACGUAGAUAUUCGGAGGAACACCAGUGGCGAAGGCGGCUCACUGGACCAUUACUGACGCUGAGGUGCGAAAGCGUGGGGAGCAAACAGG